GGAGGAAAAGAACUAACAAGGAUUCCCCUAGUAACUGCGAGUGAAGCGGGAAAAGCUCAAAUUUAAAAUCUGGCAGUCUUUGGCUGUCCGAGUUGUAAUCUAGAGAAGUGCUGCCCGCGCUGGACCGUGUACAAGUCUCCUGGGAUGGAGCGUCAUAGAGGGUGAGAAUCCCGUCUCUGACACGGACUACCAGGGCUUUGUGGUACGCUCUCAAAGAGUCGAGUUGUUUGGGAAUGCAGCUCAAAAUGGGUGGUAAAUUCCAUCUAAAGCUAAAUAUUGGCGAGAGACCGAUAGCGAACAAGUACCGUGAGGGAAAGAUGAAAAGAACUUUGGAAAGAGAGUUAAACAGUACGUGAAAUUGCUGAAAGGGAAACGCUUGAAGUCAGUCGCAUUAGCUGGGGAUCAGCCUUGCUUUUUGCUGGGUGUAUUUCCUGGUUGAUGGGUCAGCAUCAAUUUUGACCGCUGGAAAAAGGCUUGAGGAAUGUGGCACCUCCGUGGUGUGUUAUAGCUUCUUGUCACAUACAGUGGUUGGGAUUGAGGAACUCAGCACGCCGCAAGGCCGGGUUUUGACCACGUUCGUGCUUAGGAUGCUGACAAAAUGGCUUUA
RNAcentral lists this ribosomal RNA (607 nucleotides) under Cyphomyrmex minutus symbiont 950112-08. Its description in RNAcentral is "eukaryotic LSU rRNA". It matches the Rfam family "Eukaryotic large subunit ribosomal RNA", at positions 52 to 642 of the family's 3401-position model. Lineage: Eukaryota; Fungi; Basidiomycota; Agaricomycetes; Agaricales; Agaricaceae. The record is from RNAcentral.